Molecule: non-coding RNA, 788 nt
Organism: Microcebus murinus (gray mouse lemur)
Lineage: Eukaryota; Metazoa; Chordata; Mammalia; Primates; Cheirogaleidae
Source: RefSeq, a predicted model, not a curated record
CCGAGAGGAAGGGAUUGCUACUCCCACUCUGUGCAUAAGGAAAUGGGGCUUGGCUGUGUGCGCCCAUGAAUUUGUACUCGGUGCCAAAGUGUCUUUAUAAUGACAUCCUGGAACAACAGUACCUUCUGAGCACCACUUUCUCCCUAGGCAUUCUCCGAGCCUCAAAGCCCUUUCUUUCUCGUGGAUCUAUGAGGGGAAAAGGAAAGGAGGCCUGGUUAAGACCACAGCCAUGUUCCCUCCGCUGUGCAGAACGUCCUGCAAGGCAUGAGUGGUCGGUCACAGAAAGAGAAAGAGGCCUUUGUGAUCUAGAAGUCCUCAUGCAGCCCGCCUGAUGUGGGCAUUUCUCAUCCUUCAAGGAGGAGCAAGCAGCCAUUUCCAGAGGAGAAGCGGAAAACAACAGAAGGCUCCUCAAGCCCAGAAUCCUCUCCCACCCCAGGCUGCCCAAUACCUCAAAUGCCACAUGGCCUCCAAUGAGCCCCACCUCCCAGUACCAAAAUAAGCCACUGUCUCUGGACCUUUAUCUUGCCCUGACCUGGCAUGCUCCUUCUCAGCCCUGCUGGACAUUAUAUAUGAAACAUGAAAGACUCUGAAAUGUGGAAGGAAGAAGACAAACUGAAUAAGGACCUCAGGACAUGAGAAAUGACAUGGUUCCCUGCAUAGAUGCUGCCUGAUGGAGAGAAGGAAGAAGGGAGACAGCCGUUUCUGCCGAGCCACUCCUUGCCCCCGUCCUGCAGUCCCUGCCAGUGAUCCUCAGGGCCAGAUCCCUGACCAGACUCAGCGGUGGGUGU